AGGGAAAUAGCUCUAGUGGUAGAGCACAUGCUUAACACAUAUAAGGUCCUAGGUUCAAUCCCUAGUACCUCCA
Molecule: transfer RNA, 73 nt
Filed under: Camelus ferus (Wild Bactrian camel)
Lineage: Eukaryota; Metazoa; Chordata; Mammalia; Artiodactyla; Camelidae
Rfam family: tRNA
About the family: Transfer RNA (tRNA) molecules are approximately 80 nucleotides in length.
Source: Rfam by way of RNAcentral